CGAGGACUGGAGUUUGAGACCCCUGCUCUACAACAUCCACCAGAGUUGCCUUUGGAUGAAACAGAUCUUCAGACUAUAUUAGCAAAACUAUACAGCAAGGUUGAUAUGACUUUCUGUCCUACCAGCAACCAAAUAAAUGUGUGCAGGGACAGGAUUUUAGAAUGUAGCCUGUAUGCCUCCAGAAGACGCCGUUUUAUCCAGCAGCAAAACUGGAUGUUAUUUUUGUGGAUGAAGAGGACAACGCUGAAGGGGCAGUUGAUGAAGGUGGUCCCACACGAGAGCAUCUAAGACUGUUAAUGAGGGCCAUUCAUCAUUCUAAUGUCUUUGAGGGGCAUGGAAUGACCGCCAUCUUAGCUUUGGACACUAGUGGUCAGUAUUCUCCCCCCCCAAUUCUUAAGGAUGGAAAAUUGUCAAGUAACAUUUUUUUUCUUUAGCGCUGGAGUCAAAAAUGUACAACUGUAUUGGAAAAAUGAUAUCAGUCUGUUUGGUGCAUGGAGGCAUUGGACCACAUUUCUUCUCUCAAAGGCUGUAUGACCACAUUUGUGGCACAUUGCCUCACCCUACCCUGGUUGAGGAAGUUGUUAACCAUUCAUUCAGACAGCAGUUGAUCAAAAUUCAGGAUACAAACACAAUCGUGGAGGCAAACGAAGCCAUUAUGCAGGCAGCAGAUACCCUGAGCAUUGUUGGAGCAUUAAGGCAUGUAACUACUCUGGAAGAGAGGGACUCCCUUGUGCAAUCUGCUGCAGACUUCUCUGUAAAUGGCCGAGUGUGCACUGCAUUGCAACAGUUUGUGGAAGGUUUGAAGACUCUUAAUGUGCUAGACGAGAUUCAGAAAAACCCUGCAGUCUUUCAUGAAUUGUUUGUCGGUGAGGAGAAGCCACUCUUGGCACAGGACCUGUACACACUUUU
Molecule: long non-coding RNA, 909 nt
Organism: Xiphophorus couchianus (Monterrey platyfish)
Lineage: Eukaryota; Metazoa; Chordata; Actinopteri; Cyprinodontiformes; Poeciliidae
Exons: 4
Source: RefSeq, a predicted model, not a curated record